Molecule: long non-coding RNA, 4358 nt
Filed under: Triticum aestivum (bread wheat)
Lineage: Eukaryota; Viridiplantae; Streptophyta; Magnoliopsida; Poales; Poaceae
Description: long non-coding RNA (TAES_LNC025437)
Source: RNAcentral
GUAAAUCAAUCUUGAAAAAAUAAUAGAGUUUCUAGAUGUGCUUACAUUAUCAAUUUACACAAAUGUAUGCCAUAUCUUUUCUUACAAAUUCAUAUUGGAGAAUAAAGUUGUCCCGGAAUCAACAAAAUGUUCGGAUUACUUUACAAAGACUAUCAAUUUUUGUUAAUAUGAAACCUUAUGAAUCGUAUUUCCUCAAAUAUGUACGUCUCCCAGCCGCGCCUUACCACCUCUCUUCCGUCCAUUUUAGAUGCUUCGUCAUUCGCCACACCGCCGCCGAGCCGCCGCCGUCAAUUUCUUUGAAAAUUUUCAUAGAUAGAUAGUGCACAAAAAGAGAACAGAUUCAUAAGAAAAGCAAUGUAUGCACCUGUCCUAUCUCCCAAGAAUCAAACUUCUGUGGUAAAUUAAAACUAACACAUACCAUGGCUAUCCAACAACACAUAUUAGUGACAAAUCUGAACCGGGUCCUCUUUCCUUAGGAUCUGAUAUACCUUCAGGCUGAUUAACUCUGCUAGGUGUUCUCUGAACUCUGAAAGUCUGAAUCAACUCAUGCACAACUUUUGACGAUGGAAAUGGAGUGGCGUCACAAGAUUGGAUCCUUAUCCUGCUAUAUAACUGUAGUAAAGUUAAAGCAAAUAAGCUAAGAAGUUGGAUAGCAAGAUGAAGGUGCACCACACCAUCCAAUUCUGAAUAAGUGGCUGAUGGUUUUCCUCAUUGAAUCCAUAAGGAGCAUGCUUUUCUAUCCUUGAACUAAGCUGAAACUCAAGAGAUCUAAAAUCUGAACGAAAGAACUUGAUUUCUUGGAAGGAGGGCGACUACACCAGAUCGAGUAGCCUCGCCCGUGCAUCACCAAAGCUGGGGCACAUGGAGCCGUGGCGUUUGCGACGCCCAGCAGCAGGGUCACAUCUCAUCCCCAUCAACUCAAAUCAAAACAGAAGGAGCAAACAAAACAGGUAUCAAAUCACACUCAUCGCCACUCUGGUAAUCACAGGCUAGCCAUGGCUUCAGAAGUUGUCGUCACUCUCUGCGUGCCUCACUGCAGAGCUGUGGGAGCUAGGCUUCCACCGCAGCUGGCGUGCGUGGAGGGCGAAGGCCAAGCCAAAAGGCAUGUGCGGUGCAACGGGUAGAAAAUUAAUAAAUAUAUGCUUGCAAACUUGAAAAAUAAUUUACCACCCAAACAACUUUGGAAGUAGAAAACAAUAUUGAAAGUACUCAAAGUAGGUGUACAUCAGCUCCAGAACCAGCUCUUCCAAAAUAUCAUCUUUUGUAAUUCCACAUCCCUGCCUGCCAUGUCAAUGUAAACUGCCAACUAUUCUGGGAAACUUCAUCCAAGUACAGCAUAAUGAGGCACGAAUAGGUGUAUGCUCUGAGUACUAUUCAAUGGUCAUGCGGCACAUCGGACAAUGAACACACUGUGUCAUCACAAGUCACGAGUAAUGUUGAAGUGUUAAUAUUAAGUGAUACAUGCAGUAAGAUAGGAAGGCCUUCAGUAAAAAAAACAUCUGAUUACUGCGAAAAAACUCUGGUGCCAAACAUUUAGUAUCGACUAAGCUACAUGUUUUCUAUAUUUGAACAUGGCAGAGAAACAAAAGAAAUAUGUGACCGGAUCAGGUUCUCGUCUCACCAUUGAGCGUGAUGCACAUAUCCUGAUAUGCACCCUAAAUCCUAACAAGUUUCAGAAAUAUCAAACUUACAAAACCAAAUAACUGAAUUUGCUGGCCCCGUACAUCAUUUUAAAGAUUAAAAGAAACUCAAAUCCAAGAUCAAUUGUUUUCAUAGUUGUUGUCCCCAGAUCAAAUACUGUUCCAAAUUUUCCAAGAGAUCCACCACGAAAAUUGUUUCUUAUUUUUAUUUCUUCCAUUGUAGCAAAGCAAGAUAAACAAUUAAAUAAAGACAUGCUUGUGUUUAAGGGUUGUAUACCAGGAAUAGCAACUCAGCGAGCAAGAUCAGAUGUUGCGGAUUUGAGGUUCGCCUCUCCACCCUAGGAAACCACACAAAAUUAUAGCAAAGAAUAAGCAAAUCAGUGUAAGAAAUAACACAGAAAGCAUAGAAUUUCUAUGCAACCAACAUCACUAUAAAAGUAAUUGUAAUGUUCAUUCAUUGUAUAAGUAUACAAAAAUUAUCUAUAUGAGAGCUAUUAAUUGUACUGUCCAUUCAUUUCUAUACAACCUCUUAUUAUAAUUUACAAUGAAAGUAUGAGAGCUAUUAAAAUUGACCAGUACAAAAAUUAGAAGACACUACCAAGUAUUGCCACAUUUUUAUCUCCUCAUCAUGUGGCCAUAACGAAAUUCAGCACAGGAGUGCCACAUCUUUUAUCUCCUCGGAUGGAUAUAACAAACUUCAACACAGUAUUGCCACAUUUUCCAUCUAAGUGCAGAGCACCAAUGACUCACAGCUUUAACAAGCACACUAUUCCUCCCAAGGACAGAGCAGAAGCUCCCCUGAACUUCCCCCAAACAGUGGAAUUCUUUGCAGCACCACUACCAUGCAAUGUCAGAGGAACUACUACUAUUUAAAACUAUAAUAAAAAGAUAUUACAAAGUUCAGUGUCUUAGAGUCAAACUACCUAACUGACCAAAUGUUAGGCACUACUAAUAAAGGCUGUAGGCUAAUUACAUGAACACCAGUGAGAAAUUGCACAAGAAUGAAUUAACAUAGUGGAAAUUCAGGUAGCCAACUCAAAUGAAAAAACAGAAGGACAUGGAUAAGCAAUGUCGUGACCCUUCUAGUCACUGAAUUGUUAAACUCCCAGAGCAUAUACUAAAGAACAUACAGAACUAAUAAGUACUCCCUCUGUAAAGAAAUGCAAAAUACUUGAUCAAGACUGUUGCAACUCCUGUACCAUUUUUUUAUGAACCUCUUCAAGCUGUUACAAUGUGAAGACUUACUAUAUAUAUUUUCAGAGCCAACCAAUUAUGUAUACCUUAAGCCAAUUAACUACAGAGAUGUAGAGUGGAACCAUAUAGCAUUGGUCUGAACCACUAAUGCAAACCUUCAGCCAAUUAAGUACAGAGAUUUAGAGUGGAACCAUGUAGCACUGAUAUGAAAACUUUGUCAUACAACAGCUGUUCUUCCUAGAUAAAAAUUUCGCUAGCUUUAUCACCUUUUAUUGCUACUUCCAAAAUAGUCAAUUAAAUAAUUACCUCUCUGCCAUCACCAUGAUAUUACUUUACCUUUUCUUAUAUUUUUAUGUCAUACAAUAGAUGUUCCUCCUAGAUACAAAUUUAGCUAGAUUUAUCACAUUUUAUCGCUACUUCUAAUUAUUGUUUUUCCUCAGGACCAUCUUGUAAUGAGGACAGGGGGGUGUUUUAGGCAUUGACUUGUUCAGAGCUUAUGUAGUAGUUGAUGACAGAUGCAAAUUGAUUACACCGUAGUAUGUACCUCAGGUCAGACGAAGUUCCGGCAGGCGGUGAAGUAUGUGCAGACGGAUUUCUGGCGAAGUCCACAGUGUACAGCGACGUCAGAAACUUGCGACACGACGAUGAGCCAAAUAACUGCAGAUUAUCGCAGAGUUAGAACACACAAGAUUAUUUAACCUUGCAAUUAGAAUACAAAGGGUUCAGUGAUGUAUUUUUUCCUUGAUGACAGAUGCAAAUCAUCUGGAUACGAAUUGGGUAGUAUUUAUUGUCAGGUUUAUAUACAUUGAUUGAUGGGACUGUAGCAAUAACGAAAACUUUCAGUAGCAAGCUAGAUCUCUGUUCUCUAUCUAAAUGUGCAUCAAUCAGUAGCAUCAUACAUCAUACAUCAGCAUCUAUGUAAAUGUGAAGCAAUCAACGCUUCUCUCUAUACCUUCUCUAUCUCUCUGCUCUCUCUCUCUCUUGUUCACCUGUCUCUUUUUUUAUCCACAAGAGCAAAUCAGUAGGCGUUGGACCCUAUCUCUCAUCUCUGUUCUCUCUCUCUUUCUAGCAGCAGCGGCCAGUAGCAGUUCCAUCAAUCCUUCUAUCUAAAUGUGCAGCAAUCAUCAUCUCUCUCUCCUCUCUCUCAUCCUCACCUGUCUCACCAACAACAGUGUCCAGCAUGCCCUCUGCUCUCUCCCUAGAGCAAGAACUCCUCGUCUGCAAGGGCGUAUGCCUUACCAGCUCCCAGCUCACCAGCCCCACCGCGGAAGCGACCUAUCCCCUACACAGCAUCGAGGGGAGGGGCGGAUUGAGAUCAAUCACAGAGAGAGAGAUGAGGGGGAGGAGAUCCCAUAGGGACGUGAGAAGUGCGACGGGAAACACUGAGGCGGGCUUCUGCUCCAAGUUCUGGGAGGAAGACGGAGGCGAGGGGGGCCAAGAAGGAAGGAGGAACGAACCUGGGGCCGCCGGAGACGAGCCGGCGAAGCCUUGCCCGGAACCCUAGCCACGGGGGUGGGGUUGCAA